This 264-nucleotide ribosomal RNA is filed under the name uncultured bacterium. RNAcentral describes it as "partial 16S ribosomal RNA". The record is from RNAcentral.
CUGCUGCCUUCCGUAGGAGUUUGGGCCGUGUCUCAGUCCCAAUGUGGCCGUCCACCCUCUCAGGCCGGCUACUGAUCGUCGCCUUGGUGGGCCGUUACCCCGCCAACGAGCUAAUCAGACGCGGGUCCAUCUUACACCACCGGAGUUUUUCACACAAAUCCAUGCGGCUUCGUGCGCUUAUGCGGUAUUAGCACCUAUUUCUAAGUGUUAUCCCCCAGUGUAAGGCAGGUUACCCACGCGUUACUCACCCGUCCGCCACUAAGA